AGCUACAGUGGUAAAGGGUGGCUGCUGCUUCAAUGAAGAUGAAAAGAGGAAGAUGGUGAUGAAGAAAGAAGAUGGAAAGAAAAGGAGAGCUGCCAUGUUUCAAAGGGGAAGAUUCUACAACACCACCACAUUUGUGAGUUUGUGCUCUUGAAGACUUUGGCUUGACUUGGUCCCUCAUGCUGACGCUCCCAUUUGUGGUCCCUCUGGGUCAUCAUGGAACCAACAUCCUGUCCCCACGGUGCCAUACAAUCAGGGUGCAUGCUCUGGAGUGCUGUUCUGUUUGAAACCAGACUGGACAACAUCAAGGAGCUGUUUAAAGGCACCUGCCUCACAAUCCCUUUGGAGAACUUCAGACUUGUCUUGAUGGAACAACACAGGCUCUGAAGAUACACUGGCCUCCAUGGGCAUUCACUUCCUCGAGACCUCUGGAGCCUUUGCACCUACCUGGAAGGGCUAAAUAUUUUGGCCAGAAGAAUAGAAUAUGAUGAUGGUCACCUAUCAGCCAGUGUCCUCUUGGCUGCUUCCUGUUCCCUGCACUAUUUAACUGACUUUCCUUGAAGCAGACCUCACAGAAGUCAACAGCAUGGCUGGUUUUUUUCAGGUGCCCAAGGCUUUGUUACUGAACAGAGGAGACACAUCUCCCACAUGGAUGGGAAUGGGGACAGCCAUGGGGUGCAGUAUGACCUCUAUUCUCUGUGGUGCAGGAACAUCUCCACCUGACUUUAUGCCUUUUGCAGUAAAUACUUUCUGCUUUAAUGUGAAUUUACUGCUCCAAAAAUAACUGUAAUUACCCAAGAAGCAGAGGAACCUAUUUACAAGAUUUAAAGGGGAAGAGGAAAGAAAAUCUUAGAAGCAAAAAUCCAGCAUCCAGGCCUCAAAAUACAAAACUGAAUUGAAAGAAAGGGCAGCUCACCCCUGUGGGAGAGGCUCAGCCUGUUUGGAGGGGUAUGCACUCCUUGGUACUUUGUCCAUGACAACCAUCAGGAAUUGCUCAACUCAGAGAGCAAUAUUACUUGAAAACAAAUUAUUCCUCAUGAGCAAACCAGCUGAAGAGAGGAGGGGACUCUGGCAGUACUCACACCUGUGAAAGUUUGUAAGUUAUUGCUGAACAUAAGGGGGAAAAAAGGCAUGGGUGUGCACCAGAGAAGAAUAAUGUAAGACAAUAAACUUGUUACAACGUCA
Long non-coding RNA from Pogoniulus pusillus (Red-fronted tinkerbird), 1182 nucleotides. RefSeq lists it as uncharacterized. The record is from RefSeq and is a predicted model, not a curated record. NCBI's taxonomy places the organism in Eukaryota, Metazoa, Chordata, Aves, Piciformes, Lybiidae. The transcript is spliced from 3 exons.